This 254-nucleotide ribosomal RNA is filed under the name uncultured bacterium. RNAcentral's name for it is "partial 16S ribosomal RNA". It matches the Rfam family "Bacterial small subunit ribosomal RNA", at positions 524 to 776 of the family's 1533-position model. The record is from RNAcentral.
UACGUAGGGUGCGAGCGUUGUCCGGAAUUAUUGGGCGUAAAGAGCUCGUAGGUGGUUCGGUAAGUCGGAUGUGAAAUCUCCAGGCUCAACCUGGAGGGGUCAUUCGAUACUGCCGUGACUAGAGUUCGGUAGGGGAGUGUGGAAUUCCUGGUGGAGCGGUGAAAUGCGCAGAUAUCAGGAGGAACACCCGUAGCGAAGGCGGCACUCUGGGCCGAUACUGACACUGAGGAGCGAAAGCGUGGGGAGCGAACAGG